Molecule: ribosomal RNA, 949 nt
Filed under: Plasmodium vivax (malaria parasite P. vivax)
Lineage: Eukaryota; Apicomplexa; Aconoidasida; Haemosporida; Plasmodiidae
Description: partial small subunit ribosomal RNA
Rfam family: Bacterial small subunit ribosomal RNA
Source: RNAcentral
GUGCCAGCAGCAGCGGUAAUACAGAAAAUGCAAGCGUUAUUCCCUUUAUUAGGCGUAAAGCGUUUUAAGGUUUUAUAUUAAUUUUAUUUUAAAAUAUUUAAUUAAAAUUUAAAAAAAAAAUAAAUAAUAAUAUAAUAGAGUAUUAUUAAAGUAUUAAGAAUUUUUUGAGAAGUAGUGAAAUACAAUGAUACAAAAAGGAAUACCAAAAGCGAAAGCAUAAUACUAAAUAAUUACUGACACUUAAAAACGAAAGCUAAGGUAGCAAAUAGGAUUAGAUACCCUAGUAGUCUUAGCUGUAAACUAUGAAUAUUUUAUAUUUAUAUUAUAUAUAAAUAUAAUAACUAACGUAAAAAAUAUUCCGCCUGAGUAGUAUAUUCGCAAGAAUUAAAUUCAAAGGAAUUGACGGGAGCUUAUACAAGUGGUGGAACAUGUGGCUUAAUUCGAUGCAACACGAUAAACCUUACCAAAAUUUAACAAUAUUUUUAAUAUUAAGAAAUUAAUAGUUUAAUAAAAUAUAUAGGUAGUGCAUGGCUGUCGUCAGUUCGUGCUGUGAAGUAUUAAUUUCAGUAUUAUAACGAACGUAACCUUUUAUAGAAAAAUAAUUUUUAUAAUAUAUUAUUAAUAAUAAAUAUAUAAAAAAGAUUACGUCAAGUCAUUAUGCUCCUUAUAUUUUGGGCCGCUCACGUGUUACAUAAAAUAUUACAAUAUAUUUAUUAUAUAUAAAUAUAAUAUUUAAAAUAUAUUUAUAGUUCAGAUUAUAAAUUGAAACUCAUUUAUAUGAAGAUGGAAUCACUAGUAAUCGCUAAUUAGAAUUAUAGCGGUGAAUAAGUUCUUAAGCUUUGUACACACCGCCCGUCACAUCUGAAAAAUAUUAUAUUAUAUAAAAAUUAUUGUUAAAUAAUAAUAUAUAAAAAUAUAAUUUAGAUGAAGUCGUAACAAGGUAACCGUA